GGACGGGUAGCUCAGUUGGUUAGAGCAACUGGUUUACACCCAGUAGGUCGGGGGUUCGAGUCCCUUCCCGUCCACCA
This 77-nucleotide transfer RNA is filed under the name Pelagicoccus mobilis. Its description in RNAcentral is "tRNA-Val". It matches the Rfam family "tRNA". Rfam says of the family: Transfer RNA (tRNA) molecules are approximately 80 nucleotides in length. Their secondary structure includes four short double-helical elements and three loops (D, anti-codon, and T loops). RNAcentral also lists the same sequence under 8 other names. Lineage: Bacteria; Pseudomonadati; Verrucomicrobiota; Opitutia; Puniceicoccales; Pelagicoccaceae. The record is from RNAcentral.